Long non-coding RNA from Hibiscus syriacus, 1423 nucleotides. RefSeq lists it as uncharacterized. NCBI's taxonomy places the organism in Eukaryota, Viridiplantae, Streptophyta, Magnoliopsida, Malvales, Malvaceae. The transcript has 4 exons. The record is from RefSeq and is a predicted model, not a curated record.
UAAAGAUUUUCUGGGUUUGUUUUUUGUAUGUUCAUCUUUUUUCCUGCAUUCCAAGCUUUUUCUUCUUCUAGAAUUGAGGUUUAAGGUUGACUGAAUUCUUUUGCUCUUAUUUUUGUAAAUUUGUUAAGAAAAAUCUAAUCUGGGUUUUCAAUAUUUUGAUCUGCAAAAGAUUGGAUUUACAGGCGAGACGAUCAAUUGGCUCCGUGAUGCAUUAUAAAAUUGCAGUUCACUUGGUUUUAAAGAAACAGAAAACAAGGAAUUGUAAAGGGAAUUAAGGAAAAUUGAAAGGCAAUAUGCAAGCCGAAAAUGGAGCAAGAAUCACCAGAAGGAACUUGAGGAUCUGAUUGUUGCGAAUAGUCAAGAUACUCAUUUGGUCUUGAUAUCAAGGAUGAACCUGGAAUGGACUCUGGUUUAGGACAUGAUGAAGAGUUGAAUGGUAUGGGGCUGGAUGACUUAGUGGAUGAUCGCUUCCUAAUGACGAAACAAUUCCAAUGAAUUCUCUGAAUGUCCAGCAAACUUAAACACCAUGGCUGAAUUUCUUAUGAAAAUUGAUGAAGAUGUUGCAAGCAAUGUCGAUUUCCCGGACUUUAUGAUCUGCUUCAAUGGGAGCAAAAACCGAUUGUAGGAUACCGUUUUCCAUUGUCUCUGGUACCUACUGUGGAAAGAAUCAUCAAUAUUCAUGGCGAUGUUCGGCUUCGAGUUCGGUGAAGAACUCGAAUAUUAAGAGGAAAAUCUAUUUGUUUUUGUGUGCCACAUCAAAGAGAUGGAGGAUCUAAAGCUCCAUGAAGUCAGUGAGAAAAAGAUGCUGAUAUGGAGAGAUGCCAUUAAGGAUGCCCUUCAAAUCAUUUCAGGUCGAGUUUGCAAUGUGCCACUUGAAGAAAUUGCUCGAGCUUACUUCGUCGCAUUGGAGCGCAAUUGUUGCAAGCCAUUGGCGACAAAAUGGAUGCCUUGCAUGAGGGUACGUGCUGAGGCAUUCGAGGGUUUCAAGGACUGUUGGCUGAUGCAAUGGACUUCCAUGGGCAACCUGUGAGCACUGGUUUGUUCCCUGACUGAUCUUUCAGUACUCCCCAUGGCAACACUUUGCUGCAUUUCUAGCUAGUUUAGGUGAUUUGUGUGGUUAUGGAUAUGACUUUUCAUGUAAUAAGAGGCAUAGGCUUUCAUCUGGGAGUCUGAUUGGAGGCAUCUCGUCGUAUUGAAAUGUCGUUUUAUGACUACAUUAGUCAUAAAACGACAUUCUUAAUCCGGUUAGAUUUGGAUGCCUCGAACAGAACUCUCAAAUGGAACCAAAGUAAAACCUAUUUUUGAAUCCUAACUUAAAAACCAAAAAGGGUUUUUAGGUUAAGGGAUCAAGGAUGCGUUUUGUACCUCAAUGAAGUACUUUGAUGGACUACUUGUAUUUUAUGUUUAAUAUUUGCUGGUUGAA